RNAcentral lists this long non-coding RNA (544 nucleotides) under Heterocephalus glaber (naked mole-rat). Its description in RNAcentral is "lncRNA (ENSHGLG00000045611.1)". Lineage: Eukaryota; Metazoa; Chordata; Mammalia; Rodentia; Bathyergidae. The record is from RNAcentral.
GUGAGAAGUUAAUAUAGAAGCAAGUGUUAGGAAUGAUUGCUUGGAAGUUAAGUUCAGGCCAUGAAGACAAAUAAAACCAUAUUCUAUGAUCUGAAAACUAUGCAAAGCUCCAUUCAUCUUUCUCGGAAACAAAAGAACUUGAUUGCCAAGAUGUAUGAUUCCAAUAAUCAAGAGUAAAGGGGAAGAAAUGAAGAAGAAAGUUUAUUGAUUCCCCGCCUGAGAAUUCUGCUAACUGGAGGAAAAUGUUAAGUGCAGGAUGUGAGAGCAUUUGGAGCGAGGGGAUACACUGUCCCCUCCCCAGUAUCUGCCUUCCUGCACCAAGACCCGAUUUCUUCUUCAUUGCCUUUUCAUUGCGUCUGCGUUCCCGUUCUACUCUGAUGCCCUAUUCCUCCACACACUUCAAAUCUAAGUGAAUUCUGAUCCAAGACUAUUUAAUAGUUGGGCAAUUUUUGGAGUGCGGAAUAAAAAAAAUUAAAGUACUGGUCUUCAGUGAGCGCACAGGCUACCUGUCUUUCGAAAACAAACCCGAAUAAAGCCAAACAGU